RNAcentral lists this ribosomal RNA (615 nucleotides) under uncultured bacterium. Its description in RNAcentral is "bacterial SSU rRNA". The stretch from base 1 to 535 matches the Rfam family "Bacterial small subunit ribosomal RNA", at positions 338 to 873 of the family's 1533-position model. The record is from RNAcentral.
CCUACGGGAGGCAGCAGUAGGGAAUAUUGGGCAAUGGGCGAAAGCCUGACCCAGCCACGCCGCGUGCAGGAAGACGGCCCUCUGGGUUGUAAACUGCUUUUGACUGGGAAGAAAGAAGCUCAUGCGUGAGAAGUUGACGGUACCAGUCGAAUAAGCCACGGCUAACUACGUGCCAGCAGCCGCGGUAAUACGUAGGUGGCAAGCGUUAUCCGGAUUUAUUGGGUUUAAAGGGAGCGUAGGCGGCUUAAUAAGUCAGUGGUUAAAGGUAGCAGCUUAACUGUUUUACAUGCCACUGAUACUGUUGAGCUUGAGUUGACAGAAGGCAGAUAGAAUUUCUGGUGUAGCGGUGAAAUGCUUAGAUACCAGAAGGAAUACCGAUUGCGAAGGCAGUCUGCUGCAGUCACACUGACGCUGAGGCUCGAAGGUGCGGGGAUCAAACAGGAUUAGAUACCCUGGUAGUCCGCACAGUAAACGAUGAUUACUAGAUGUUGGCCAAGGCCAGUGUACGAACGGAAACGAAGUAAGUAAUACCACCGUACGGGGUACGGCCGGCGACGAGAACGACGAAGAAGUAGACGGCGUGAGACGAGCGACGACGACGACGGAGGGAGGAGG